GGGGAAUAUUGGACAAUGGGGGCAACCCUGAUCCAGCAAUGCCGCGUGGGUGAUGAAGGCCUUCGGGUUGUAAAGCCCUUUUGGCAGGGACGAUGAUGACGGUACCUGCAGAAUAAGCCCCGGCUAACUUCGUGCCAGCAGCCGCGGUAAUACGAAGGGGGCUAGCGUUGUUCGGAAUUACUGGGCGUAAAGGGCGCGUAGGCGGCUUCGAUAGUCAGGCGUGAAAUCCCCAGGCUCAACUUGGGAAUUGCGCUUGAUACUGCGAGGCUUGAGUGAGGGAGAGGAUAGUGGAAUUCCCAGUGUAGAGGUGAAAUUCGUAGAUAUUGGGAAGAACACCAGUGGCGAAGGCGGCUAUCUGGACCUCAACUGACGCUGAGGCGCGAAAGCGUGGGGAGCAAACAGGA
Molecule: ribosomal RNA, 404 nt
Filed under: uncultured Rhodospirillales bacterium
Lineage: Bacteria; Pseudomonadati; Pseudomonadota; Alphaproteobacteria; Rhodospirillales
Description: bacterial SSU rRNA
Rfam family: Bacterial small subunit ribosomal RNA
Source: RNAcentral